AGGGUUUCUUCAUCUGCACGCUGCUUUCUGGGUGCACAGCUCUGUGACAGACCACAGUUGAGCUUCCAAGGAGCUCCAAAAAAGAGAGGAGUCUGGAGAUCCUUAUUAGAAAUUGCAGCGUUUUGAGUAUCAUAAUUUCAUGCCGCCUUCUAUAACACAUGUGGCUUAAGAGCUAAAGAACGGAAUUGACUGUAUAUGCGUGGAGAGUCAGCCCUAUGGAGUACGUAAGAGCCAUCUUGGUUUGACCACAUGAUCAGGAAUGACACGGAUUUGAGGUUCCAAUUAAAACCGUGUUUGGGCCAUUGCUUUGCCUGCCUGUGCUUAAUCUUUCCCGAAAGCCUCAUCACUUAUCUAAAACAAAAGAAGAACGAGAAUCCUGCAGGAACAGCACCACUGAAAGAAACGCUGCUGAACUUAUCAGAUCUGUGCUGCAUGACUGUAAAUCAGCCUUAAAGGAAGAGAGGGGCCUGAACCAAGUAAACUGA
This is a long non-coding RNA of Gavialis gangeticus (Gharial), 485 nucleotides long. RefSeq lists it as uncharacterized. The transcript is spliced from 5 exons. The record is from RefSeq and is a predicted model, not a curated record. Lineage: Eukaryota; Metazoa; Chordata; Crocodylia; Gavialidae.